AUUGAACGCUGGCGGCAUGCCUUACACAUGCAAGUCGAACGGCAGCACGGGAGCAAUCCUGGUGGCGAGUGGCGAACGGGUGAGUAAUAUAUCGGAACGUGCCCAGUCGUGGGGGAUAACGCAGCGAAAGCUGUGCUAAUACCGCAUACGAUCUAUGGAUGAAAGCGGGGGAUCGCAAGACCUCGCGCGAUUGGAGCGGCCGAUAUCAGAUCAGCUAGUUGGUGAGGUAAAGGCUCACCAAGGCGACGAUCUGUAGCUGGUCUGAGAGGACGACCAGCCACACUGGAACUGAGACACGGUCCAGACUCCUACGGGAGGCAGCAGUGGGGAAUUUUGGACAAUGGGCGAAAGCCUGAUCCAGCAAUGCCACGUGCAGGAUGAAGGCCUUCGGGUUGUAAACUGCUUUUGUACGGAACGAAACGGUGAGCUCUAAUACAGUUUGCUAAUGACGGUACCGUAAGAAUAAGCACCGGCUAACUACGUGCCAGCCGCCGCGGUAA
This 500-nucleotide ribosomal RNA is filed under the name uncultured bacterium. RNAcentral describes it as "partial 16S ribosomal RNA". It matches the Rfam family "Bacterial small subunit ribosomal RNA", at positions 30 to 523 of the family's 1533-position model. The record is from RNAcentral.